RNAcentral lists this ribosomal RNA (457 nucleotides) under uncultured bacterium. RNAcentral's name for it is "bacterial SSU rRNA". It matches the Rfam family "Bacterial small subunit ribosomal RNA", at positions 335 to 780 of the family's 1533-position model. The record is from RNAcentral.
ACUCCUACGGGAGGCAGCAGUGGGGAAUAUUGCACAAUGGGGGGAAACCCUGAUGCAGCCAUGCCGCGUGUGUGAAGAAGGCCUUCGGGUUGUAAAGCAACUUUCAGUAGGGAGGAAGGUAGUGUAGUUAACACCUGCAUUAUUUGACGUUACCUACAGAAGAAGCACCGGCUAACUCCGUGCCAGCAGCCGCGGUAAUACGGAGGGUGCGAGCGUUAAUCGGAAUUACUGGGCGUAAAGCGCAUGCAGGUGGUUUGUUAAGUCAGAUGUGAAAGCCCAGGGCUUAACCUCGGAAUUGCAUUUGAAACUGGCAGGCUAGAGUCUUGUAGAGGGGGGUAGAGUUUCAGGUGUAGCGGUGAAAUGCGUAGAGAUACUGAAGGAAUACCAGUGGCGAAGGCGGCCCCCUGGACAAAGACUCGACGCUCAGAUGCGAAAGCGUGGGGAGCAAACAGGAUUA